Molecule: long non-coding RNA, 983 nt
Filed under: Homo sapiens (human)
Lineage: Eukaryota; Metazoa; Chordata; Mammalia; Primates; Hominidae
Description: HSALNT0126101
Source: RNAcentral
AAGGCAUCCUUCAUCUGGUUUACUGUUUCCUUGAGACAGCUGGUCUCUGGGCUUGGUCGGCUGACAGCUUUGAUAGGAUUAUUGAGCACAGCUUUUCAUGCAAAAGAAACCUGGAGACCGGGGCAGUCUGCCCUUGGUUGGUCCAUCCAGGGGGCUGGGGUUGACAGGAGGCUCCUCUCAGCAGACGAGGGUCCGGUGAGCCUGACCCAGAGCCCCCGCAGCUGCUCCUGGGUGCAGCCAACGUGCUGGGCUUGGAGUAAAUGCUUAACUACAGAGACAGCAGCGAGGGUCUCAGGCACCCUUCCCUCUGUGUCUCCAUCCUUCCUGUGGUUCCAGCCCAGCCUCGACUCCCUGUUGGGGCCAGCCAUCUUGCCCCUUCUCCACCAAAGGACCAGAUUGCCUGAAGAUCUGCAGUACGGAGCUCAUCUCCCUCCUGCCUCCGGAACCCCCCAAGCUGUCUCCCAUCGGGGACAGCCUUUCGCCAAAGCCUGGAAAGAGAAAAUAAAAUAAAACUUGCUUGCUCCCCAGCAAACUCACCACAACUGGCACAUCCCAAGGAGAGCUCAUGGAUAGGACCACAGUGUCUGCCACCGGAAUCCUUUCUCCAUCAAGAAAUGACUCCAAGUUCUUAAGAAAUGGGACACCUCUUAAGGGGGCAAGUCGUAUAUCCUCAUCCAGAUAUGUGGGAAGUUCCGUGAAUAAAUCUGCAAAUAUCUUAAGAUGAAAUGUUCCUCUCCCCACCGGGAGCCCUGACUCUAGCGAAGGAAAGCUUGACCUCCAAGAGAUGAGCUGCUGUCCACCCCAUCAGCCCUCAACACCAGACCACCAGGAAGGACAGACGCUCAGGAGCCACAGCCGCUGCCACCAUCCCCUCAGACACCACGAACAGCCCCUUCACUGUUCCUGGCUGUGUCUGCCUCUAUGAGCUGCCCCCAAACUCCUUGCAGAUUUAGGAACUGAUGAAUAAAAAUGAGUAACACCUG